Molecule: ribosomal RNA, 497 nt
Filed under: uncultured bacterium
Lineage: Bacteria
Description: partial 16S ribosomal RNA
Rfam family: Bacterial small subunit ribosomal RNA
Source: RNAcentral
GAUGAACGCUGGCGGUGUGCCUAAUACAUGCAAGUCGAGCGAACAGACGAGGAGCUUACUCCUCUGACGUUAGCGGCGGACGGGUGAGUAACACGUGGAUAACCUACCUAUAAGACUGGGAUAACUUCGGGAAACCGGAGCUAAUACCGGAUAACAUGUUGAACCGCAUGGUUCAACAGUGAAAGACGGUCUUGCUGUCACUUAUAGAUGGAUCCGCGUCGCAUUAGCUAGUUGGUAAGGUAACGGCUUACCAAGGCAACGAUGCGUAGCCGACCUGAGAGGGUGAUCCGCCACACUGGAACUGAGACACGGUCCAGACUCCUACGGGAGGCAGCAGUAGGGAAUCUUCCGCAAUGGGCGAAAGCCUGACGGAGCAACGCCGCGUGAGUGAAGAAGGUCUUCGGAUCGUAAAACUCUGUUAUUAGGGAAGAACAAAUGUGUAAGUAACUAUGCACGUCUUGACGGUACCUAAUCAGAAAGCCACGGCUAACUACGUG